AGAGGUUCCUUUUGGCUCAGGAUGAACGCUAGCUACAGGCUUAACACAUGCAAGUCGAGGGGCAGCAUGAACUUAGCUUGCUAAGUUUGAUGGCGACCGGCGCACGGGUGAGUAACACGUAUCCAACCUGCCGAUGACUCGGGGAUAGCCUUUCGAAAGAAAGAUUAAUACCCGAUGGCAUAGUUCUUCCGCAUGGUAGAACUAUUAAAGAAUUUCGGUCAUCGAUGGGGAUGCGUUCCAUUAGGUUGUUGGCGGGGUAACGGCCCACCAAGCCUUCGAUGGAUAGGGGUUCUGAGAGGAAGGUCCCCCACAUUGGAACUGAGACACGGUCCAAACUCCUACGGGAGGCAGCAGUGAGGAAUAUUGGUCAAUGGACGAGAGUCUGAACCAGCCAAGUAGCGUGAAGGAUGACUGCCCUAUGGGUUGUAAACUUCUUUUAUACGGGAAUAAAGUGAGGCACGUGUGCCUUUUUGUAUGUACCGUAUGAAUAAGGAUCGGCUAACUCCGUGCCAGCAGCCGCGGUAAUACGGAGGAUCCGAGCGUUAUCCGGAUUUAUUGGGUUUAAAGGGAGCGUAGGCGGACGCUUAAGUCAGUUGUGAAAGUUUGCGGCUCAACCGUAAAAUUGCAGUUGAUACUGGGUGUCUUGAGUACAGUAGAGGCAGGCGGAAUUCGUGGUGUAGCGGUGAAAUGCUUAGAUAUCACGAAGAACUCCGAUUGCGAAGGCAGCCUGCUGGACUGUAACUGACGCUGAUGCUCGAAAGUGUGGGUAUCAAAGAGGAUUAGAUACCCUGGUAGUCCACACA
This 803-nucleotide ribosomal RNA is filed under the name uncultured bacterium. Its description in RNAcentral is "bacterial SSU rRNA". It matches the Rfam family "Bacterial small subunit ribosomal RNA", at positions 8 to 801 of the family's 1533-position model. The record is from RNAcentral.